GUGGGGAAUCUUCCGCAAUGGACGAAAGUCUGACGGAGCGACGCCGCGUGAGUGAAGAAGGCCUUCGGGUCGUAAAGCUCUGUCAUCAGGGACGAACGGCCGGUGGAGUGGAAAGCCACCGGAUUGACGGUACCUGAGAAGGAAGCCACGGCUAACUACGUGCCAGCAGCCGCGGUAAUACGUAGGUGGCAAGCGUUGUCCGGAAUUAUUGGGCGUAAAGCGCGCGCAGGUGGGAUCUUAAGUCCAUUUUUAAAGUUCGGAGCUCAACUCCGUGAUGGGAUGGAAACUGGGAUUCUUGAGUACCGGAGAGGAAAGCGGAAUUCCCCGUGUAGCGGUGAAAUGCGUAGAUAUGGGGAGGAACACCAGUGGCGAAGGCGGCUUGCUGGGCCGAAACUGACGCUGAGGCGCGAAAGCGUGGGGAGCAAACAGGAUUAGAUACCCCGGUAGUCC
RNAcentral lists this ribosomal RNA (450 nucleotides) under uncultured bacterium. RNAcentral describes it as "partial 16S ribosomal RNA". It matches the Rfam family "Bacterial small subunit ribosomal RNA", at positions 354 to 796 of the family's 1533-position model. The record is from RNAcentral.